GAAGGGCAGGUGGGUGGAGGAAGGGCAGGAGGGUGGAGGAAGGGCAGGUGGGUGGAGGAAGGGCAGGUGGGUGGAGGAAGGGCAGGAGGGUGGAGGAAGGGCAGGUGGGUGGAGGAAGGGCAGGAGGGUGGAGGAAGGGCAGGAGGGUGGAGGAAGGGCAGGUGGGUGGAGGAAGGGCAGGUGGGUGGAGGAAGGGCAGGAGGGUGGAGGAAGGGCAGGAGGGUGGAGGAAGGGCAGGAGGGUGGAGGAAGGGCAGGAGGGUGGAGGAAGGGCAGGAGGGUGGAGGAAGGGCAGGUGGGUGGAGGAAGGGCAGGAGGGUGGAGGAAGGGCAGGAGGGUGGAGGAAGGGCAGGUGGGUGGAGGAAGGGCAGGUGGGUGGAGGAAGGGCAGGAGGGUGGAGGAAGGGCAGGAGGGUGGAGGAAGGGCAGGAGGGUGGAGGAAGGGCAGGUGGGUGGAGGAAGGGCAGGAGGGUGGAGGAAGGGCAGGUGGGUGGAGGAAGGGCAGGAGGGUGGAGGAAGGGCAGGGG
Long non-coding RNA from Oncorhynchus tshawytscha (Chinook salmon), 525 nucleotides. The record is from Ensembl. NCBI's taxonomy places the organism in Eukaryota, Metazoa, Chordata, Actinopteri, Salmoniformes, Salmonidae.